This is a long non-coding RNA of Mercenaria mercenaria, 360 nucleotides long. RefSeq lists it as uncharacterized. The transcript is spliced from 3 exons. Lineage: Eukaryota; Metazoa; Mollusca; Bivalvia; Venerida; Veneridae. The record is from RefSeq and is a predicted model, not a curated record.
UCGGAUGUUUCAAAUCAGUUACUCUCGAUGGACAAAUCGUCAGCGGUGUGGCCCUUCUUCCCGAUGUUGCGGUCAUAUUAAUAAAUGGAAAAGAAUUCCAAUUUCUAAAACAGGUUCAGCGAACAGAGAAAAGGAUAAAACCGGUGGAGGAAGCUCUGAGGUUCGUUUUAGGACAACAUGAUCCUGAAGAUAUAUGCGAAAAAUAUAUCAACGAUUUUAUAGGUCGAGGUGUUUUUGCCAAAAUAAAAUGAUCAGAAAUGGAAAAUUCCUUGCGGAAUACCAUGGCGUUUUAUCCAAUGCUGACGACGUGAAGGACAAAGAUACAAACUACACAUAUUUCCUUGACUUUAAUGGUGUCAA